This 1062-nucleotide long non-coding RNA is filed under the name Anas platyrhynchos platyrhynchos (common mallard). RNAcentral describes it as "lncRNA (ENSAPLG00000024472.1)". The record is from RNAcentral. Lineage: Eukaryota; Metazoa; Chordata; Aves; Anseriformes; Anatidae.
AUGGGGCUUCCGUAUUUCAGUCGCUACAUGAUUAGGUACCAACUAAGAAGAUGGUGGCGAUCCGAGCACCUUGGGGAAAAAAAAAAAAAAAAGGAUAGGUGGGCCGGGGGAGGGAAGAUCACUACACCACCACAUUUAGAAAAUACCCACCCAGCUCUGCGGGGAAUGCGAGCGAUUUUGGUGUCAGUGGGACUCACUGCAGCUUGGAAACGCCUUUCGCGGCCGAGCAUAGGCCACCUGUUAGACGGGGACAGCCUGGGAUGCCCCCCACGGCGGGCAGCUCAGGUGCCAGCGAAAGUUUCACAGCUCCGGGCAGACCUCUGCCUUUCCCCCUCCCGGGUUUCUCCGUCCUCUGCCCCCGUCCCGCGGGGUCCGCGAAGGCAAAUUUCUGCCCACGGCUGUGAUUUAGCGACCCCCCCCUCCGGCCGUCCUGUCCUGCAUGCCCCGGGUAGAAAUGCAAGGCAGGAGGCGGCAGGAAAGCUCUCAGGAAACCUCGGAGCUGGGGUGCGCUCCGGUCCCGUCCCCAUCCCCUUAUCGAUCCCCAUCGGCCGUCUGCAAGGGGAAGCCGAGAGCCGGCGGCUGCAGGGGGAGAGAGGGAGGGGGGAAAGGAGGGAGGGAAGGGGGAGAUCCCUGCCUGUUCGGCAGCACCGCCCGUGGCACAGCGAGCGCGGCAGCGGGCAGAGCAGCACGGCGGGCUGCGGGCAGAGGGGUCGCGGCCGCGGGGGGCCGCGGGGGGCCGCGGGGGGCCGCGGGCCGCGCCCGACCCGUGGGGGGGUUGGACGGGGACGAGGGGGGGCCCGUCCCGUCGGGGCAGGGCCCGGGAGGGGCCGGGCUGGCAUCGGCGGCCUCCAAUGGGGGCGAGCGGGGGCCGCCCGCGGGGCUCCGCGCAGCUCGGCGGCGGCUCGGCGGGGAGAAGGCGGCCGGAGGAGAGGACGGGAGCCGGGCGUCCGAGGAGCCGGGUGCGGACGCCCUGUGCGAGCCCAAGGUGAGCGAGGUUCCUCAGGAGCAAAAAACCUAGCAAAUAUGGUGAGAUGGAUCACACCAUCACGGACGGAGUAUUGA